GAUUAACGCUAGCGGCGGGCAUAAUACAUGCAAGUUGAACGGCAGCACAGGUAGCAAUACUGGGUGGCGAGUGGCGCACGGGUGCGUAACACGUAUGCAACCUACCCUAUACAGGCGAAUAACCUUUAGAAAUGAGGGCUAAUACGCCGUAGUAUUACAGAUGGGCAUCUAUUUGUAAUUAAAGAUUUAUCGGUAUAGGAUGGGCAUGCGUCCCAUUAGUUAGUUGGUAAGGUAACGGCUUACCAAGACGAUGAUGGGUAGGGGAUCUGAGAGGACUUACCCCCACACUGGUACUGAGACACGGACCAGACUCCUACGGGAGGCAGCAGUAAGGAAUAUUGGGCAAUGGCCGCGAGGCUGACCCAGCCAUGCCGCGUGCAGGAAGACGGCCUUAUGGGUUGUAAACUGCUUUUAUACGGGAAUAAUAGAGUGUACGCGUACAUUUAUGCAAGUAUCGUAUGAAUAAGCAUCGGCUAACUCCGUG
This 484-nucleotide ribosomal RNA is filed under the name uncultured bacterium. Its description in RNAcentral is "partial 16S ribosomal RNA". It matches the Rfam family "Bacterial small subunit ribosomal RNA", at positions 28 to 507 of the family's 1533-position model. The record is from RNAcentral.